CAGUAGCCACGGGAAUACAGAGGUCCCGAGCGUUGUUCGGAUUCACUGGGCGUAAAGGGUGUGUAGGAGGUUUGGUAAGUCAGGUGUGAAAUCCCACAGCUCAACUGUGGAACUGCAUUCGAUACUGCCGAACUAGAGGCUUGGAGGGGGAAGCGGUAUUCUUGGUGUAGCGGUGAAAUGCGUAGAUAUAGGAAGGAACACCAGUGGCGAAGGCGACCACCUGGACUGAUACUGACACUGAGGUGCGAAAGCGUGGGGAGCAAACAGGAUUAGAUACCCCUGUAGUCCCUGUCUCUUAUAC
RNAcentral lists this ribosomal RNA (301 nucleotides) under uncultured bacterium. RNAcentral describes it as "partial 16S ribosomal RNA". It matches the Rfam family "Bacterial small subunit ribosomal RNA", at positions 509 to 807 of the family's 1533-position model. The record is from RNAcentral.